Molecule: long non-coding RNA, 8651 nt
Filed under: Medicago truncatula (barrel medic)
Lineage: Eukaryota; Viridiplantae; Streptophyta; Magnoliopsida; Fabales; Fabaceae
Description: long non-coding RNA (MTRU_LNC008133)
Source: RNAcentral
AGUCAUGCAAAGACACCCUCCCAAAACAUCAACAUCAAUUUCAAAACUCUCAUUACUAUUAUGAACAUCAGGAAGAGGAACCACAUUGAAAAUUUCAAGUGUUAGGUUAAAUGCAACAAUUAAAGAAGGAUGUAAUCCACCAAGUUUCUUUGUCAUUAUCCAGUGAAGAGAAUUCUCAACAAAAACCCCCAUGAAUUGAGCAUAGAUAAGAGAGUACGGCAUACUGGGAAUUAUUUUCCACGAGUUUGUUAUAGAGCUGAAGAGUCUGACAUGUGAAUCAUAAAAAGAGUUGUGUGGAGAGGCUAACCAAGAGAUUCUGAGGAGUUUGUAAUCGCCGGUUAAAGGAUCAAAACCGAAACCAUGAACGCAUAAGCAGCAGCGAUUGAUGUUGUCGGAUUCCAUAAUGUCAGGGAUAGGAAGAGGUAGGAAAGGGAUCAUACGAUGCUUACGAGUGCUAGGGUUCCAGAUUGUGAUUUCGUUGGGGUUGUUAGGAUGAUUGAAAGCCAGUUGGCCGUGGGAGAUGGCGAGGAGGCCGUUACAGGAACCGAUAAGAGCCAUGGUUCUGGUUCUAUUACGUGUGACAGGAGUGAUUUUGGUGGUGAAAGGAUGGUUGAGUGGAAUCAUCAUGGAUUUAGAGAAAUCAUCAUGAUCAUCGAUUUGGAGUUGGUAGAGAUCGAAUUUGUGUUGAAUGAUUAAGGAUCGACUGAGGGAAUUUUUGAGAUGAAGGUUGAUGAAGUGGUGAGAAUCGAUUAUGGAUUUAAGUGAUUUAGAAGUUGAUCGGAAUUGGAGAAGUGAUUUUACCGGUAAGCGGGAGAGGAUUUCCUCCAACAAUUCCGGCGGAGGAACAUCACUCGCCAUUGGAAGGAAGGUUCGUUCUAGGGUUGUGUGGUUCUUCUGCGUUUAGGUUUUAGUAUUUGUUGAUUGAUUGUCACCAUCCACUAAUCAUUCUGCUACUGCUACCAAGAAAUAGAGUGAGCGUUGUUUCCUUCAUCAAAUGUGUAAGUUGUGUGUGUUAAACAUCAUGCUUAAGGAAGUUGAUGUCAAGUCUUUACUAUUAUGCGUUGGUUAUUUUUAUUUUAGUAACUGCUCUUCACUUUUUAUUACUCCAUUACUUAUGGUAGUUAUUGGAAUUAUUUUUUCUUUUAUUGAAAAUUCUAGCUGUAAUUAUUGGUAGCACACAACUUCAUAAAAAAUCACAUGAAUUUUGUCACGAAUAAGUUUAAAUGUAUAUUCACGAAUUAAGUUUAAAUGUAUAUUUAGAAUCAAGAUGAGUUUCACAUAAAUACCAUAAUUUUUUUGAAACUUAAGAUGUAACUUUUGUUAAAAGCACAACGGCAAGGGGUGAUUCUAACAAACUCAUUUGCAAUCCAAACAUGCACUUAAUGUUCUCAUAAUUGCAGCAAACAAUUAUAUAAAAUGAACCAAAAAUAGAACUGCUAAACCAUUCCUCUACCAACUUGUACAAUCUUUCAUCUCUUGUACUUGCAAACAAAUGAUCAUUUCAUGACACAUUAUCAUUUUAAGUCAAAAUUAAAUGGUCAUAUUCAACCAUGUGCUAGCCAUGAAUGUGUUUUACACCAAGAAAAAAAUGGUUAAUACAAACAUGUUAAAAAGCCAUGCUCUAAACAAAUAUGGGAUGGUACCAAUAAGACAUCGAUUCAUAUGACAUGUCAAAGUUCGAAGUAGUUAGCAUGAGCCACCAGGCCUUUAAGAAACCGAUCCAAUACAUCGAAUCACUAUUCCUAAGACCUCAUUCUUUUCCUUCUCUACAACUGGAUUUCCCAUUUCUAACAUCAAAGUUGCAUCGAAACAUUCGGAGCCUCGACCUUCUGCUACUCGCAAUCUAACCAAUCUGUAAGAUAAAACACCUCCCUCCUCGCCAGUUACCACAUCACCAGCACAACUUCUGGUUAAAAGUUUCAAAAGUAUCACGCCAAAACCUUAGACAUCUGACUUGAAGGAAGGCAUUGGCUUCUUUGAAGCAGCUAACUCGUGUGCGCAAUAACCUAAGACACCAUAAGAGAAAAUCUAUUCAAUAGUAGUACCAGCUUGAGUCAUAAGUCGGUCAAGACAAUAAUCGCAACCAGUGCAUUCAUAUCAGUGGUAUCUAACAACACAUUUGCAGAUUUUAAGGUUUCCAUGAGGAACAGCUCGGUCGAAAUGGAGAUAGUCAGUCCACGUGCUACAUCAACUGCUACUUUGAGCUUGUGUGCCCAUGUCAAUUGUGGACCGUUUCUUCCUGAUCAAUCUGAGAAUUAGAAUUUAACAGCAAGUUCAAACUUCAAAUAUUAACAAUAAUAACAAACAGAUAUAAUGAAUGAGAAGUUCCGAAACAUGUACGCAGCAUAAGCAAAAUUGAUUUGCAUUUCUAUUAUUAUAUGCACAUAAGUGCACUACACACCAGAGACACAAAUACAAUGCACUUUUGCUUGAGAGACAAUCUUUCGAUCAAAAUCUUCUAGAAAUCAUUGUUGUUAAAAUCUCAAUCCUAAUCCUAAAAUCCUAAAAUUUUGCAAUUUGGUUCUGACUUACCAAUCGAAAUCCUGAGUAGAAUCCUAAAGACCUAAACUACGCAAAAUCUUUUAAAAAUCGUUUAUAUUUAAGUGAUAUUGCGAUUUUGCUCUGCCUUAUAAUUGGCGCAUUUGUGAUGUGAUGUUGGCUUGUAACAUCUAUAUUUUGAGUAUUUAUAUUUAAGAUUUGAGACUUUGAGCCGUCUAUGUUUAAGCUUUGUCACUAAUUUGUUUUACGUUUAAGAUUUGAGACUUGGUUGUUUUAUAUUUGCUUUAAAAUUCAAACUUUAAGCAGUUUGUUUAUGCACUUUAUAGUAUAUAUUUAAUACUAUUUGAGAACCUUCGAUUUUGCGAUCUUACUAUCACCUUCUGAUUCUACACAAUCUCAUGAGUAGAAUCCUUUGAUUUUGAUUGCGAUUUUAGGUGUUGUGAUCUUGCUAUCACCUUUCGAUCUGAAGCAAAAUCUCGACAACCUUGCUGGAAACCAAAAAAUAAAUCAAAGAAUCAAUUUGGUCUGACUUACUUUUAACUUCUCUUUAAAAGAAGUUAUGCCAAACAAUAUUUUUAAAAAGAAGCCUUGUCUUUCAUGUAUAAAAAUUCGAUAUAAUGAAAUUUUCAAAAAAAAAAAAUGUUGAGAGGAAUUUUGUAAUAAUCAGAACUUUGAUAAUGUUAUCUAUCUUUUUAUUUAACUCAGAUUCUAUCAUUCUAUCAAAAUAAUAUUUUUAUUUAAGCUAAGAAACAAGAAUUAUUACCAAACAACUCUAGUUUUCUCCACUCUUUCUCUCAACAACAACCAUUAUCCAAAGUUGUCUUGUAAGAGGUACCGUGACUACUUCUUCCCAAAAAUUCGGCUGUUGCCCGUCAUAGCUCCUAAAGUGUCAGUGAUAUUGUAUCAUCAUCAAAAUUUAGCUCUCCAAUCAACCUAUCCGAUGACCUCGUAUCUAGUCUUGUAAGAUACUCAGCAGUCAAUGAAUCACGAGGACCAUGAAAAGUGGUUGUGUUUUGACGGAGAGAAUCCAGCUACAACUGCAGUUUUUUCAUCAUGGCGAAGUAUUUCUCAUGGUGAUCCUUUACGUGAAGCCACGAGAUCCUCAACUAAUACAACCAAAGGACCCCCACUCUCUGAGGGACGAAUCGGUCCAGAGAUUCCUGGAAAUGUAUGAAAACAGCCGGUAAGAUUGGCACUGUGAUUGUUACUUUAACAGCUGUGGACAUAGACUUCCCCUUGGAACUUUUGGUAGGUGAAACGAUUGAUCCAUAUGACUAUUUGGAAAAUGUAACUUAGCAUUCCCAGGAAAGAAAGAAGAACUAGGGAUCUUUCUAAGAAUUUCUGGUACAACUCCAGAUAUAUCAUUUCCAGAAGCAUUGAAGUCUUUGAGUCCCUUUGGCAUGUUAUUUGGAAGUGGACUGGUAAAACGAUUAUUUGAUAUAUCAAGGGAUUCUAAAGAGCUCAUUUCAGCAAUAGUAGUUGGAAGAGAACCAACAAAGUUAUUUCCAGCAAUGUUGAGCACUCUCAGGCUAGUUAAUGAUCCAAACUCAUCAGGAAAAAAGCUACUAAGUUGGUUGUAAGAAAGAUCAAGAACUUGAAGAUGAGAUUGGUCAAGAGAGACGAUAAAUCGAUGCCACCAUUAAUCAAAUUAUUUUUAAGAUGGUGCUCUUGUAAUGUUGGCACUGUGAAAAAUUUGGUUAGAAGAAUGCCUUUUAAUUGGUUGUAACUGAUAUUAAGCACUCUAUUUUUGGAAGGUCGUUCCUGAAAUGAUGAAUCACAAAAACUGAGGUGUUGCCUCAGGGAUGUUCCCUGCCAAACGAUUACCAACGGGAUUGAGAUAUUCUAUGUUCCUCCAUUUCAGCACCCUGGUUAAAUUUCCUUCAAAUUUUGUAAUUCGACGGAUCAAGGACGGCGCAACUUCCAGUCAGCAGUGGCAGCCCACCGUGAAGCCAUUCGACGAGAAAUUCAGAAAGAGAAGUGUUGUCAAUGUAAUCAUACACGAUGGCCCUGAAAGAAAAUUUUCAUCAUUAGAUUAAUAGAAAUUGAAUCUGAGCACUCGUAUAAGUUGGAUUAUUUAUUUCGAGGAAAAGAAAAAUUGGAUUUAAUGAAUCUCCUUGAGAGAUUUUUGGCACUCGAAUCAAGUUCAGUUAAAACCAAAGAAUCUCCAUUAAGUAAGCCAUCAGGAAUAAAUCCUAAAAUAUGUUGUUGUUAAGCUUAAGGAUUUGGAUAUCAUUAACAAAAUCAAAUCCAGGUAAUUCUCCAUUCAAAUGGUUAUAGCUGAGAUCCAACACCUUCAAUUACAAAAUAAAUGAAAUUAUAAAAAAUAAAUACUGAUACUGGUACAAUACAUGUAAUUGUUAUAAUCUAUGUAGUCACAAAAAGUAGCUUUCGCGCCAUGGCAUUGACAUUUAUGCUUUUGUUUAAUAACAAAAUGAACUACCAGCAAUUUACGAUUAGAAUAAUUCCUAUACUGAAAUUUUGUAUCACCACCAAACAAUCGUUAUAUUUGUUAGCUCAGGUGAUUCAAUAGACCAAAACGUAGAAGAAUAAUUCAAAAAUCAUCUUUAUACACGAGGAUGUAAUAAACUCUGCAUGUGUAAUACGUGCAAUAUGAUCAUAAGGUUAAUACAAACGGUUUUCUAAUUCUAACUUGAUGAUAAUUUCAAAAUCAACAAGUAGAGAGUGAGAUCUUUGAAUUUAAUUGCAGAAAGUAGCAAGUAGAGUUUCAAUGCAGAAGUAGCAAGUAGAGAGUUUCAAUUACAAAUAUCAUAAAGGCAAAUAUGGACUAUUCCAUAUUUUUCUCAACAGUACUAGAAGUAAAAGAUAAAAGCAGAUCUUUUUAGAAAGGCCAAAGGGGGAUGAUUCAUCAUCAAAUUCUUCACACCCCAAACAUGAGGGGUAAGUGUGAUCUCAGACAUAAUUCAAAAUGAGAUAAAAAUGAGUGCAGCUCCAUUCAUUAUCCAUUCAACCUAUCGCACAAACCAAGCAGACUAAUUCCAUCACAAGAAACAACUUGAGUAUCCUGUAUCAGCUGCUGCACAUCACAGGUCCUUCCUUCUAUCCCUUACAACCUCAAUUUAAAUCCUCGGGACAAGAAGUCGUCCCUGUGGAAAGAAAAACUGAAUCUCAUCGAAGUAAGUUCAACAAUAUCACAAAAGAAUAGUUGAUAAAAACCAUGCUUUUGAAACUUAAGAGUAAUUUCAUAGUAGGCCAAUUUCUCAACAACUUUCUUCUCUUUACAUACCACGGCAGUGUGGAAUAGUCUCAACAUUCAGAAAUAAGUUGGUAAAAAAAAUUAUUUAGGAGUGAAAAUCUCAAACAAUGAAUAAAAAGGAAAAAAACCAAAUAAUACCAAAAUUCUUUUUUUCAGCAAAUUCUUUAGCCAAGUGUGUUUAGAGAUUCAUAACAAAAUAUAGACCAAAUUCUUCUUAGGUACAUACUCAAUAUUCGCAAGCACCCUUGCACUCUAGUACAACUAGUUUAGCCUCAAUUUACUAUUUACUUCUAAAUAGUAUCUACAACACUUUGGUACAUAUUCAGUCACUGAAGCCCUCAUUCCUUGGUUUCAAAUCACUUAACAUUCAUUUACAUAAUAAGAUUACAAACAGAAUUGCAAUGGAAUAUCAUAAAAAUUUCAAGAAAACAUUACUCAUUUCAAGCUUCGGGUGCAACCACUUAGUGCACCAAACGAUAAUUAAAUCCUCCAAACAUAAGUAUUUUAACAAGCAUUUAGAGUAAACUUCCUAACCAAAGCCAACAGCAAUUCAGAAUGCAGCAGCAAACACCAUUACAUGAAUUUGUGUAAAAUAUAGUAGAUUAGUUUAUUUGCUUCGUGCUCCUAAGUUGUGACGAAUGUAGGUUAGCUUUUAUAAAUCAUUCUUAGACUUUUAUUACCUCUCUUCUACCUUCCCUUAGAGGCAAGCUUCAAAAAAGUAUACAAAAUAAGUAUAUUUUUUUAUUUCGCUUCAUUUUUGUGUGUUGUCAUUUACCAAAAUUGGGUUCGACUUUCAUAACUCAAUUCACUCCAUUUGAACAAGCAUGCGAACAUAUUUUCUGAAGAAUCCAACAGCAAGAAUGUAGACUAGUAGCCAAACACAAAGAAACAAGGUUCAAUUUCACAUGACUGGACAUAAACAAACUGCCAUUUGCUGGCUACUAAAUCAUUUGUUAAGGCAACUUCUCCAUGGAAAUUAGUAUAUAGAACAGUUAGGUGUGUUUAAAGUCUCGCCAAAAACAAAUAUAUAAAUAUAAUUCAAAGCAUAAAGGUAUACAAACAUCCAAAUAUGCAUAUAAUGGCAAUGUCAAUGAGGUAAUUUAAAAUCAUCUAGAAAAAGAUACGUUCAAGAUAAACAAAGAGAAGAACACACUUAUCAAAAGAAAGAACAAUAAUGAAAGUGAUUUUUUCAUUAGGGUGAGGCAAGUACAUAAAAUGACAUGAUGCAAAGAGAAUAAUUUUCUAUCACAUAGCAUACAUUGCUGUCAAUUCAUACCAGAAUCCACACUUAGCAAAUUCUUACUUUCAUGCAUAGCUUACAUUGUUGUCAAUUUUUUGUUUCUUUUAGCAUACACACAUUGUCACAAAUACGUAAACAAAUCCACCAUACAUACAUUGUCACAAAUACGUAAACAAAGGUAGAGACUUCAAAGUAAUUAGAGAACUAUUAAGAAUUCAAUUUGACCUUUAGCAUAGAGUUUAACUUCAUAUAUCAUAUGACGGGUCCAUUGAAUUGACAUCAACUUAUACAUAGCAAAAACUCAAAAAACUCAUAAUCAAAAGAAGUACCUUCUCUUGCUCUUGCUUGUACGAUUCUCCUUCUUCCUAGAAUUAUCAACAGGGAAGGAAGGUGGUACAAGACUUCCAACAGAAAACAUAACAUCAUGGAAAUCAGGAAUUCCUUCAACAUAACUAACUUGUGCACUCCUAAAAUCAUACAAAAACAGCUUCUCAAAAUCCACCCUCAACAAAACCUUUUUUCCAUCACUCAAAUAACCUAAAGGCCUCAAAGAUUUCAAAGGUAAAUGGAAACACGAUUUAACCAUAGUAAAAAGUUUACACCAACUAUCUCUAUAUCCAUAUUGUUUCAUCACCCAAACAUCAAUUUCAGUAGUUUCAUAAUUCAAAGUCAUGCAAAGACACCCUCCCAAAACAUCAACAUCAAUUUCAAAACUCUUAUUACUAUUAUCAACAUCAGGAAGAGGAACCACAUUGAAAAUUUCAAGUGUUAGGUUAAACGCAACAAUUAAAGAAGGAUGUAAUCCACCAAGUUUCUUAGUCAUUAUCCAGUGAAGAGAAUUCUCAACCAAAACCCCCGUGUUUUGAGCAUAGACAAGAGCGUAGGGCAUAGCAGGAAUUAUUUUCCAAGAGUUUGUUUUAGAGUUGAAGAGUCUGACAUGUGGAACAAAAGAGGAUCUUUCAUUUGGAUCGGCUAUCCAAGCGAUUCUGAGGAGUUUGUAAUCACCGGAUAAAGGAUCAAAACCGAAACCGUGAACGCAUAAGGAGAAGCGAUGGAUGUUGUCAGAUUCAAGAAUGUUAGGGAUAGCAAGAGGUAGGAAAGGGAUAAUACGAUGUUUACGGGUGUUAGGGUUCCAGAUUGUGAUUUCGUUGGGGCCGUUAGGGUCCCUAAAAGCGAUUUGGCCAUAGGAGAUAGCAAUGAGGCCGUUGCAUGAACCGAUAAGACCCAUGUUGCUGUUACGCGUGACAGGAGCAAUGUUGGUGCUGAAAGGAUGGUUGAGUGGAAUCAUGGAUUUGGUUAGAUUAGGAAGAUCGAGUUGGUAGAGAUCGGUAUUGAGCUGAAGGAUGAGGUUGAAAUUGAGGGAAUUAUUUUUGAGGUGAAGGUUAGUGAAGUUGUGGGAAUCGAUUAUGGAUUUAAGUGAUUUUGAAGUUGAACGGAAUCGGAGAAGUGAUUUUACCGGUAAGCGGGAGAGGAUUUCCGUUAACAAUUCCGGCAGAAGAACAUCACCCGCCAUUGGAAGGAAGGAAGGUUCGUUCUAGGGUUGUGUGGAACUGCUACGUUUUGGUUGAUUUAGGGUUUUAGUUUUUGUUGAAGUAAGUUUUCUAGCGUGCUUCACUUCUAGUACCCACUUAUUGCAAAAAUCUCAUCAACAUCGGUUUAAGCCCUCAUAAUACGCACGGUUGAUUGUCACCACCAUCC